Molecule: ribosomal RNA, 253 nt
Filed under: uncultured bacterium
Lineage: Bacteria
Description: partial 16S ribosomal RNA
Rfam family: Bacterial small subunit ribosomal RNA
Source: RNAcentral
UACGAAGGGGGCUAGCGUUGCUCGGAAUCACUGGGCGUAAAGCGCACGUAGGCGGAUUGUUAAGUCAGGGGUGAAAUCCUGGAGCUCAACUCCAGAACUGCCUUUGAUACUGGCGAUCUCGAGUCCGGGAGAGGUGAGUGGAACUGCGAGUGUAGAGGUGAAAUUCGUAGAUAUUCGCAAGAGCACCAGUGGCGAAGGCGGCUCACUGGCCCGGUACUGACGCUGAGGUGCGAAAGCGUGGGGAGCAAACAGG